AGAGUUUGAUCCUGGCUCAGGAUGAACGCUAGCUACAGGCUUAACAUAUGCAAGUCGAGGGGCAGCAUGGUCUUAGCUUGCUAAGGCCGAUGGCGACCGGCGCACGGGUGAGUAACGCGUAUCCAACCUGCCUUACACUCUUGGACAGCCUUCUGAAAGGGAGAUUAAUACAAGAUGUUAUCAUGAGUAAGCAUUUUCGCAUGAUUAAAGGUUUACCGGUGUAAGAUGGGGAUGCGUUCCAUUAGAUAGUAGGCGGGGUAACGGCCCACCUAGUCUUCGAUGGAUAGGGGUUCUGAGAGGAAGGUCCCCCACAUUGGAACUGAGACACGGUCCAAACUCCUACGGGAGGCAGCAGUGAGGAAUAUUGGUCAAUGGACGAGAGUCUGAACCAGCCAAGUAGCGUGAAGGAUGAAGGUUCUAUGGAUUGUAAACUUCUUUUAUACGGGAAUAAACGGAUCCACGUGUGGAUUUUUGCAUGUACCGUAUGAAUAAGGAUCGGCUAACUCCGUGCCAGCAGCCGCGGUAAUACGGAGGAUCCGAGCGUUAUCCGGAUUUAUUGGGUUUAAAGGGAGCGUAGAUGGGUUGUUAAGUCAGUUGUGAAAGUUUGCGGCUCAACCGUAAAAUUGCAAUUGAUACUGGCAGUCUUGAGUACAGUUGAGGUAGGCGGAAUUCGUGGUGUAGCGGUGAAAUGCUUAGAUAUCACGAAGAACUCCGAUUGCGAAGGCAGCUUACUAACCUGUAACUGACAUUGAUGCUCGAAAGUGUGGGUAUCAAACAGGAUUAGAUACCCUGGUAGUCCACACGGUAAACGAUGAAUACUCGCUGUAGGCGAUAUACAGUCUGCGGCCAAGCGAAAGCAUUAAGUAUUCCACCUGGGGAGUACGCCGGCAACGGUGAAACUCAAAGGAAUUGACGGGGACCCGCACAAGCGGAGGAACAUGUGGUUUAAUUCGAUGAUACGCGAGGAACCUUACCCGGGCUUAAAUUGCAACCGAAUAUGGCGGAAACGCUAUAGCUAGCAAUAGCGGUUGUGAAGGUGCUGCAUGGUUGUCGUCAGCUCGUGCCGUGAGGUGUCGGCUUAAGUGCCAUAACGAGCGCAACCCUUGCCGAUAGUUACUAACAGGUUAUGCUGAGGACUCUGUCGGGACUGCCAUCGUAAGAUGUGAGGAAGGUGGGGAUGACGUCAAAUCAGCACGGCCCUUACGUCCGGGGCUACACACGUGUUACAAUGGGGGGUACAGAGGGCUGCUACCACGCAAGUGGAUGCCAAUCCCAAAAACCUCUCUCAGUUCGGAUUGAAGUCUGCAACCCGACUUCAUGAAGCUGGAUUCGCUAGUAAUCGCGCAUCAGCCACGGCGCGGUGAAUACGUUCCCGGGCCUUGUACACACCGCCCGUCA
This 1398-nucleotide ribosomal RNA is filed under the name uncultured bacterium. Its description in RNAcentral is "16S ribosomal RNA". It matches the Rfam family "Bacterial small subunit ribosomal RNA". The record is from RNAcentral.